Molecule: ribosomal RNA, 253 nt
Filed under: uncultured bacterium
Lineage: Bacteria
Description: partial 16S ribosomal RNA
Rfam family: Bacterial small subunit ribosomal RNA
Source: RNAcentral
UACGGAGGGGGCUAGCGUUGUUCGGAAUUACUGGGCGUAAAGCGCACGUAGGCGGCUUUGUAAGUUAGAGGUGAAAGCCCAGGGCUCAACCCUGGAAUUGCCUUUAAGACUGCAUCGCUUGAAUCAUGGAGAGGUGAGUGGAAUUCCGAGUGUAGAGGUGAAAUUCGUAGAUAUUCGGAAGAGCACCAGUGGCGAAGGCGACUCACUGGACAUGUAUUGACGCUGAGGUGCGAAAGCGUGGGGAGCAAACAGG